UAUGUCCACAGCGCUCCAGGGCGUGGUCUUCUGCCUGCUGGGUGCCCAGCCCCUGUUGGUGAUCGGCUUCUCAGGGCCCCUGCUGGUCUUUGAGGAGGCCUUCUUCUCGUUCUGUAGCAGCAACCACCUGGAGUACCUGGUGGGCCGCGUGUGGAUCGGCUUCUGGCUGGUGCUCCUGGCCCUGCUCAUGGUGGCCCUGGAGGGGAGCUUCCUGGUCCGCUUCGUCUCCCGCUUCACCCAGGAGAUCUUCGCCUUCUUGAUCUCGCUCAUCUUCAUCUAUGAGACCUUCUACAAGCUGGUGAAGCUGAUGGAGGCCGUGUGGCCUCCUCUCCCCAGAUCUUCCAGGAGCACCCCCUGCAUGGCUGCUCAGCCUCCAACAGCUC
RNAcentral lists this small RNA (383 nucleotides) under Pongo abelii (Sumatran orangutan). RNAcentral describes it as "processed transcript". The record is from RNAcentral. Lineage: Eukaryota; Metazoa; Chordata; Mammalia; Primates; Hominidae.